Molecule: ribosomal RNA, 301 nt
Filed under: uncultured bacterium
Lineage: Bacteria
Description: partial 16S ribosomal RNA
Rfam family: Bacterial small subunit ribosomal RNA
Source: RNAcentral
CAGUAGCCGCGGUAAUACAGAGGGUGCGAGCGUUAAUCGGAUUUACUGGGCGUAAAGCGUGCGUAGGCGGCUUUUUAAGUCGGAUGUGAAAUCCCUGAGCUUAACUUAGGAAUUGCAUUCGAUACUGGGAAGCUAGAGUAUGGGAGAGGAUGGUAGAAUUCCAGGUGUAGCGGUGAAAUGCGUAGAGAUCUGGAGGAAUACCGAUGGCGAAGGCAGCCAUCUGGCCUAAUACUGACGCUGAGGUACGAAAGCAUGGGGAGCAAACAGGAUUAGAUACCCCUGUAGUCCCUGUCUCUUAUAU